Molecule: long non-coding RNA, 1147 nt
Filed under: Anser brachyrhynchus (Pink-footed goose)
Lineage: Eukaryota; Metazoa; Chordata; Aves; Anseriformes; Anatidae
Description: lncRNA (ENSABRG00000008473.1)
Source: RNAcentral
UUUAAGCAAAAACAUCAGGUCAAAAAGAGAAAGCUUUUCUCUCUUUUUAUUUGAAUAGUUCCGUGCUGUAUUGGUAGCACGGUGAUGAAGCUUUUCCUUUGCUAUUCCAUGCACAAAUGGGCAGAAGCUGGCAUCUCCAUCCUGAGUUAUGAAUCCUCCUGAGUUAGGUUUCUGCCAUAGAUCCGCUGGCACUCCCCCUUGGAGGUGUCUCUUUCUUCUCGCUGACAAAGAGCCUGAUUGUCAAAUUUAGGGCCAAAACUAGGUCUAAAGCCAAAUGAGACAAAUUAAAGCAUUAAUCAUUUACAUUAAGCAGCUGAAACAGUUAUGUGAAUUCCCUGUGAGCAGCUCCCUGUUUGACAGAGCAGUAUCUGUGAGCCUCCAUACUUCCCACAUCUCAGGCAGGAGCUCUGCUUCUGAUUUCAAGCCAGGUGGAUCUUGAGACAGGAAAAACAGGCUCAGAAGUCACUUGGAGGUCUCCGAAAACUGCUAAAAUUGUUCUUUGACAUUUCUGCUUGGAGCUGCUGAAACUGUGGAAUAGUGAGGCAGUGCGUGAAUAAGUUACUGGGUCUACAGACAGGAGGUUGUUAUCACAAAAUGCUGCCCUGCUGGGGGAACAGUUCCUGGGUGCUUCCUCCAGUGUGUGAAGAAUCCAAAGGAAAAGCUCAAACUGGCAAAACCAUCUUUGUGGACAACUGGGCAUCGAGGCAGAAAUCUUGCAGAUUUCAUGUGGAACUGUGCUUGCCCAAAAUGCCAGAGAGAGAAAUUGUCCCUCACCAUCCUUCCUGCCAUGUGUGCCUCCCCCAAAAGUACCAUGAAGUGGUCAGACACCAAGACAUCUGCAGGGAGAUACCAAGGGCAGGAUUUGCAAGACUGGAAGGAAAAGCAACUUUGGCAUCCAGACUGUUCCCUGGGGCUAGGUACCUGCCUCUCCCUGCAAAGAGGUGCUAAAAAGAUGAUGGCGCAUCUGGUAACGAACUUGGGUUCAAAGGCACUUGAGCAUACAGCUGUGCUUUUCCUUUUUGGCCUGUUCUGUUUUUUUUUCUCUUCUGGAAACAGAAUUGCACCCUAGCUACAGCAGGGAAGCCCUAGAUGUUUUUUUUUUCUCUUUUCCUCCUUAUUAACCCAAAACAAUGCUCCUUUCCAUCAC